GAUUGACGUGACGGUCGUGCCUUACGGGGUAUGAACUGUUGCUGUUGAUUUCUCACCUUCUGGAGAAACUUGAUGUCCUUAAUUGGGUGUCUUGCGGAUCCAGGACCUUUACCUUGAAAAUUAGAGUGUUUAAAGCAGGCAUUUUUGCUUGAAUACAUUAGCAUGGAAUAAUAGAAUAGGACUUUGGUUCUAUUUUGUUGGUUUCUAGGACCGAGGUAAUGAUUAAUAGGGAUAGUUGGG
RNAcentral lists this ribosomal RNA (240 nucleotides) under uncultured Glomus. RNAcentral's name for it is "partial 18S ribosomal RNA". It matches the Rfam family "Eukaryotic small subunit ribosomal RNA", at positions 652 to 886 of the family's 1831-position model. Lineage: Eukaryota; Fungi; Glomeromycota; Glomeromycetes; Glomerales; Glomeraceae. The record is from RNAcentral.